Molecule: ribosomal RNA, 445 nt
Filed under: uncultured bacterium
Lineage: Bacteria
Description: partial 16S ribosomal RNA
Rfam family: Bacterial small subunit ribosomal RNA
Source: RNAcentral
GUGAGGAAUAUUGGUCAAUGGGCGGGAGCCUGAACCAGCCAAGUCGCGUGAAGGAAGAAGGAUCUAUGGUUCGUAAACUUCUUUUGCAGGGGAAUAAAGUGCAGGACGUGUCCUGUUUUGUAUGUACCCUGAGAAUAAGGAUCGGCUAACUCCGUGCCAGCAGCCGCGGUAAUACGGAGGAUCCGAGCGUUAUCCGGAUUUAUUGGGUUUAAAGGGUGCGUAGGUGGUUUGAUAAGUCAGCGGUGAAAGUUUGCAGCUUAACUGUAAAAAUGCCGUUGAGACUGUCGGACUUGAGUGUAAAUGAGGUAGGCGGAAUGCGUGGUGUAGCGGUGAAAUGCAUAGAUAUCACGCAGAACUCCGAUUGCGAAGGCAGCUUACUAAGCUACAACUGACACUGAAGCACGAAAGCGUGGGGAUCAAACAGGAUUAGAUACCCCGGUAGUCC